This 815-nucleotide ribosomal RNA is filed under the name Polypedates leucomystax (Java whipping frog). RNAcentral's name for it is "partial 16S ribosomal RNA". It matches the Rfam family "Bacterial large subunit ribosomal RNA", at positions 1502 to 2565 of the family's 2925-position model. Lineage: Eukaryota; Metazoa; Chordata; Amphibia; Anura; Rhacophoridae. The record is from RNAcentral.
CCCCCCCCCCCAAUACCAUUAAUUUUCAUGAACCCCUAAUUUAUAAUGAAUGACUCCAUAUUUAUAUGGAAGACACCAUGCUAGGAUUAGUAACAAGAAUUUAUUAUUCUCCAAAAUGCAAAUAUAAACCAACAUGGAUAGACCAUUGGUAGUUACCGAACCUAAAUUUACUGCAAUAACACCCACAAGAAAACUCUGCAGUACUUACUCGUUAACCUAACACCAGCGCAUUACAGGAAAGAUUUAAAAAAAGAGAAGGAAUUCGGCAAAUGACGGCCCCGCCUGUUUACCAAAAACAUCGCCUCUUGACUUAUAAUAAGAGGUCCAGCCUGCCCAGUGAAUUUUAAACGGCCGCGGUAUCCUAACCGCGCGAAGGUAGCAUAAUCACUUGUUCUUUAAAUGGGGACUCGUAUCAACGGCAUCACGAGGGUUUUACUGUCUCCUCUUUUUGAUCAGUGAAAUUGAUCUUCCCGUGAAGAAGCGGGAAUAUUUUUAUAAGACGAGAAGACCCCAUGGAGCUUUAAACCAAAUAACAACUUAACUACUUAUCCCACAAUAAAUUUAAGCCCUGUUAUAAGGUUUUUGGUUGGGGUGACCGCGGAGUAAAGCACAUCCUCCACGACGGAAAGAACAUAAUCUUUAUUUAAGAACCACACUUCUAGAAAUUAGUAUACUAACGUUUACUGACCCGACAAUCGAUCAACGGACCAAGUUACCCUGGGGAUAACAGCGCAAUCUACUUCAAGAGCUCAUAUCGACAAGUAGGCUUACGACCUCGAUGUUGGAUCAGGGUAUCCCGGUGGUGCAGCCGCUAC